Long non-coding RNA from Papaver somniferum (opium poppy), 801 nucleotides. RefSeq lists it as uncharacterized. The record is from RefSeq and is a predicted model, not a curated record. NCBI's taxonomy places the organism in Eukaryota, Viridiplantae, Streptophyta, Magnoliopsida, Ranunculales, Papaveraceae. The transcript is spliced from 6 exons.
AUGGGAUGUUGGAAAACGUUGAGCUCGAGUUCUUAAACAGGCUGGAACUCAUGUAAUUGUUACUGAAAUUGAUCUUAUCUGUGCUCUUCAAGCUUGGAUGGAAGUUCUUCAAGUCUUGAACUUAGUAUGGGAUUGUGUAUCAUUUACAUGUCUGCAACAGAAAUAAAAGCAUAAUUGUAUUUGAUCUCUCUUGGCUGGUUAUCGUGGCUGUGAUGAUCAUCUUGAAGAUAGUGUCACUUGGUAAGAGAAAGUUCAGCGCAGAUUUUCAGACUGCUAAAGGCGUUGAUGUUCUUUGGAUUUAUAGUGAUGGUUAGCAUCCUCUUUAUGUUUGUGAAUCUUAAAGUUGGUGACAUCUUUGCGAGCAAAGAGCACAACAGCUGAUCCAAAUGCAUUGAUUGAUGAAUGGAGAAUACACAAGAAGCAAGUUAUGGCUUCAUGACCUUGCUGGAAGUGAGAGAUUAGCCAAGCCAGACGUUUAAGGAGAUCCGCUGAAAGAAACUCAAAUUAUUAACAGAUCCUUAUCUGCACUGGGAGGUGUGAUAGCAGCGCUGGCGACCAAAAUCCCACAUAUUCCUUUCAGGAAUUCAAAGCUCACUCACUUGCUCCAAGAUUCUCUAGGGUGACAAUUGCUUUUCAAUAAAGCAACAACUUGUAACAUACAGAAGCAGCUGUAAACUGGAGAAUUUGGACCAAGUUGAAGAAAAUCUCUUGCCAUGAGUCUUGAGUCCAACCAACCAUCUUCAGCAUCAGUUUUCAAUAGCUGGUUGUAUAUGAAUGAAUAGUUACUCUUUUGUACUUUAA